This is an RNA transcript of Quercus robur (English oak), 3554 nucleotides long. RefSeq lists it as uncharacterized. The record is from RefSeq and is a predicted model, not a curated record. The transcript is spliced from 9 exons. NCBI's taxonomy places the organism in Eukaryota, Viridiplantae, Streptophyta, Magnoliopsida, Fagales, Fagaceae.
AACGGGAUGAGUUCAGGUUACAGGUAGGAUCGCAAAAACGGCGUAGUGGGGUAGGUGAAUCCAUUUCAUAAUUGGUCGAUCUGGUCCGGUUCCCGGUUUUGCUGAUCUAACCGGCGUAGGCAAUGAGUGUUUAAAUCAUUUGAAUUGAUCCUUAGAAGUCCCAACUGCCCUAACCGGUUUUUACAGAAAACCCAUCCCCCCCCUCCCAAAAACCCUCUUUUCUCUCUCUCUACUCCUCUUCUCUCCCAUCAUCAUCAUCAACUCAUGAUCAAACACUACGAUUCUUCACUCUUCAAAAAUCACGCACAUACCAAACCCAUGUUCACAAUCUUUUGAUUAAUAACCAAAGAAAAGACUUUGAGAAUAGCAUCAAUGAGCUUGGAUUCACUAGAACCCUCGCCAAUUUCACAAACUAAGCAAGACCCAGCAUGGAAACAUUGUCAACUUUUUGUUAAGAAAAAUGCCAAUGGGGUCAAAGAAGAGCUUAAGAAGUGUACAUAUUGUGGCAAGUUUUUUAAGGGUGGUGGGAUACAUAGGAUCAAAGAACAUCUUGCCGGUCGCAAAGGGAAUGGCCCCACUUGCGACCAAGUCCCCCCCGAAGUUCGCUUUUUGAUGAAACAGGUGUUGAAUGCUAGGAAUUCGGGUGCUAAGAAAAACAAGACUCAAAUCAUUAUCUCAACAACUCCUAGUGUUGUUGAUCAUACGCCUCUUAAGUUGAUUGAAGCACCCGAUUUGGGUUGUACUGGUGGAGGAGUAGGCAAUGAGUCUGUUGAUCAGGCGUUUAUUGGGUCGAUUAGUGCACCCAAUUUGGAUUUGUUGGCAAAUCAAGAAGAAGAUGUUGCUACAAGUAAUGUGAGUGUAGAUGGGAGGAAGAGGAGGAGAGAUUUAAAUGCUUCUGUACUUGAUCCUAGUGCCAGUGCUAAUAGUAAUGGUGGCAUUGACUUUAGCAGCCCGUCCCCGGUUCCUUGUGAAAUAGACAAUGUGUUUGCUAAUCAUGCACGAAGCAAAUCCGGUGGAGCACCCAAUUCCAAGUUGUUAGUGAAUCAUGAAGAAGAAGAAGAAGAAGAAAUUGGGAUAGGCAGUACAAGCAUGGAUAGGAAGAAGAGGUUUAGAGGUGAAAAUUCUUUAGUUGCUAUGGAUGCUGGUGUUGUUAAUAAUGACAUUGAACUGGAAAGGAAAAAGAAUCAAGAAAUUCAGAUGGCUAUAGGGCGGUUUUUAUAUGAAAUUGGUGCACCCCUGGAUGCAGUGAAGGACUCGGUUUAUUUUCAGCCCAUGAUUGAUGCGAUUGUCUCUGGGGGAACAGGGGUGGUACCGCCUUCCUACCAUGAUCUUCGGGGUUGGAUAUUGAAGAGUGCAGUUGAAGAAGUGAAGCAUGAUGUUCAGCAGUAUAUGGGAACAUGGAGGAGAACGGGUUGUUCUAUUUUGGUGAACCGAAGGUACUCACAAAAGGGUAAAACGUUUCUGACUUUUACAGUGUAUUGUCCUGAAAGAACAUUGUUUCUGAAAUCUGUGGAUGCAUCUGCUAUCAUUUAUUCACCAGAUGCUUUAUAUGAAUUGCUUAAACAAGUGGUGGAAGAAGUUGGAGUUGAGCAUGUUCUGCAAGUGAUUACUGAUAACACAGAAAAAUUGAUCGUUGCGGGAAAAAGGUUGAUGGAUACAAUUCCUACCCUAUAUUGGGUUCCCUGUGUGGCUCAUUGUAUAAAUCUGAUCCUCGAGGAUUUUGGGAAACUUGAGUGGAUUAAUUCAAUAAUUGAACAGGCUAGAUCUAUUACAAGGUUUGUCUACAAGCAUAGUAUGGUUUUAAAUAUGAUGAAGAAAUUUACUUUUGGCAAUGACAUUGUAAAACCCGGACUCACGCCCAUUGCAACAAACUUUAUGACAUUGAAACAAAUGGCUGAACUUAAACUUUGUCUGCAAUCUAUGGUUACUUCCCAAGAGUGGAUGGACUGUCCAUUUUCAAAACAACCGGGGGGGCUGACAAUGCUACAUACAGUAACUAAUCGUUCGUUUUGGUCUUCAUGCAUCUUGAUUAGCCGUUUGACAAGUCCACUCUUGCGAGUUUUGAGAAUUGUUGGUAGUGAGAAGAGGGCUGCAAUGGGAUACAUUUAUGCUGGAAUGUACCGGGCAAAAGAAGCAAUUAAGAGAGAACUUGUUGAGAGACGGGAUUAUAUGGCCUACUGGAAUAUCAUAGCUCACAGGUGGGAACAACAACGGCAUCCUCCUCUUCAUGCUGCUGGUUUCUACCUUAACCCCAAGUUUUUCUAUAGUCUCAAAGGGUGUGUUCAUAAUGGGAUCAUGUCUGCGAUGUUUGACUGCAUAGAGAGAUUGGUGCCUGAUACUAAAGUCCAGGAUAAAAUCAUCAAAGAGAUAAACUCAUACAAGAAUGCUGUUGGGGAUUUGGGGAGGAAUUUGGCAAUUAGAAGUAGAGACACUCUGCUGCCUGUUGAAUGGUGGUCUACGUAUGGAGGAGGUUGCCCAAACUUGGCACGUUUGGCAGUCCGUAUUCUUAGUCAAACUUGCAGUUCUAUCAGUUAUAAGCAAAGUCAAAUUUCUUUUGAACAUAUAUAUGAAACAAGGAAUUGCCUUGAGCGUCAGCGGUUUAGUGAUCUUUUCUUUGUUCAGUGCAACUUGCGUCUGAGACAAAUGGUUCAUAAGAACAAAGAACACGAUUAUAUGGAUCCAAUAUCAUUUGACUGCAUGAGUCUUGUUGAAGAUUGGGUAAUGGAAAAGGAAGUAUGCUUUGAGGACUGUGGGAGUUCAGAUUGGGUGUCACUUAAUCCACCCACCACUAACACGAUGCAGUUAGGAGCCUUAGUUGAUGAUGAUGCCGAAGACUUGGGCAUAGGGUUUGAUGAUAACGAGAUCUUUGAUGGAUCAAAGUAGAUGAAGAUAGAAAUGUUCAACAAUCAAUUAAGCUAGUAGGACAUCCAACAGGCUUCUUAUCUAUCUGGUGGUGUUCUGCAUUGACACAUAUUUACCAUUUUGACUAUGAUCAGAUGGAGAAAGAAGUGAUUUAGUGGCCAAGGUGAGCUUGGAUUAAGGACAAAAGAAAAGAUUUAAUCAAAUUUUGGAAACAAAAAAAUACAAAAUAAACACCAGCACGUGCCAGAGGCUAGCAAAACAACGUAGCAUCCAUUCUUGGUGACCCAUAAGCUGCACAUGCCAGAGGCUGGCAAAACAACAUUGCGUAGCCCAUAAGCUGGGAUUUCCCCCAAAUCCAAUUGACCUUUGUUAAACAACAUUGACCUUCUCCCGCCCAUUGAUUCAUGGAAAGAGACAAGUGCAAUAGAGGGAAAGGAAGAAGGAAAAAUUUUCAGAUCUUGGAGCGUUCUUAGUUGAGUGGAUUGACGAAUCUUGUUGGGGUUUUCAAUCGUUGGUGUUUUGACUUUUAGAAAUCCAUUAAUCUGUGUUAGUUUCUGUAUUUUGUAAGUAAAUUAAGGAUUUUUAUUCUAAAUUUACUUUUUUCAUAAGAUUUUUAAAAGUUCAAUUUUAGAAAAUGAGUUUCUUCAUGUAAUCCCAUUACUUGAUUCUUGUAAUAUUAUGUUUUCUUUGUA